This 441-nucleotide ribosomal RNA is filed under the name uncultured bacterium. Its description in RNAcentral is "partial 16S ribosomal RNA". It matches the Rfam family "Bacterial small subunit ribosomal RNA", at positions 338 to 795 of the family's 1533-position model. The record is from RNAcentral.
CCUACGGGGGGCAGCAGUGGGGAAUAUUGCGCAAUGGGGGCAAGCCUGACGCAGCAACGCCGCGUGAUUGAAGAAGGCCUUCCGGUUUUAAAGAUCUUUAAUCGGGGACGCAUUUUGACGGUACCCGAAGAAUACGCUCCGGCUCACUACGUGCCAGCAGCCGCGGUAAUACGUAGGGAGCAACCGUUAUCCGGAUUUACUGGGUGUAAAGGGCGUGUAGGCGGGCAUGCAAGCCAGAAGUGAAAUCUGGGGGCUUAACCCCCAAACUGCUUUUGGAACUGCGUGUCUUGAGUGUUAGAGAGGCAGGCGGAAUGCCCAGUGUAGCGGUGAAAUGCGUAGAUAUUGGGAGGAACACCAGUGGCGAAGGCGGCCUGCUGGACAUUAACUGACGCUGAGGCGCGAAAGCGUGGGGAGCAAACAGGAUUAGAUACCCGAGUAGUC